RNAcentral lists this ribosomal RNA (460 nucleotides) under uncultured bacterium. RNAcentral's name for it is "partial 16S ribosomal RNA". It matches the Rfam family "Bacterial small subunit ribosomal RNA", at positions 338 to 795 of the family's 1533-position model. The record is from RNAcentral.
CCUACGGGAGGCAGCAGUGAGGAAUAUUGGUCAAUGGGCGAAAGCCUGAACCAGCCAAGCCGCGUGAGGGAUGACGGCCCUCUGGAUUGUAAACUUCUUUUGUCGGGGAAUAAAAUACGGUACGUGUCCUCUCUUGCAUGUACCCCUUGAAUAAGGACCGGCUAACUCCGUGCCAGCAGCCGCGGUAAUCCGGAGGGUCCGGGCGUUAUCCGGAUUUAUUGGGUUUAAAGGGUGCGUAGGCGGCCGGUUAAGUCAGGCGGCAAAGGCCGGGGCUCAACCCUGGCACUGCGGUGGAAACUGGCAGGCUUGAGUGGGGGAGAGGUAGGCGGAAUUCGUGGUGUAGCGGUGAAAUGCGUAGAUAUCACGAAGAACUCCGAUUGCGAAGGCAGCAUACUGGAGCGAGACUGACGCUGAGGCUCGAAAGCGUGGGUAUCGAACAGGAUUAGAUACCCGGGUAGUC